GAUGAACGCUGGCGGCGUGCCUAAUACAUGCAAGUAGAACGCUGAAGGAAGGAGCUUGCUCUUUCCGGAUGAGUUGCGAACGGGUGAGUAACGCGUAGGUAACCUGCCUGGUAGCGGGGGAUAACUAUUGGAAACGAUAGCUAAUACCGCAUAACAGUAGAUGUUGCAUGAUAUCUACUUAAAAGGUGCAAUUGCACCACUACCAGAUGGACCUGCGUUGUAUUAGCUAGUUGGUGAGGUAACGGCUCACCAAGGCGACGAUACAUAGCCGACCUGAGAGGGUGAUCGGCCACACUGGGACUGAGACACGGCCCAGACUCCUACGGGAGGCAGCAGGAGGGAAUCUUCGGCAAUGGACGGAAGUCUGACCGAGCAACGCCGCGGGAGUGAAGAAGGUUUUCGGAUCGUAAAGCUCUGUUGUAAGAGAAGAACGAGUGUGAGAGUGGAAAGUUCACACUGUGACGGUAUCUUACCAGAAAGGGACGGCUAACUACGUG
Molecule: ribosomal RNA, 497 nt
Filed under: uncultured bacterium
Lineage: Bacteria
Description: partial 16S ribosomal RNA
Rfam family: Bacterial small subunit ribosomal RNA
Source: RNAcentral